Molecule: ribosomal RNA, 404 nt
Filed under: uncultured bacterium
Lineage: Bacteria
Also listed under: 1 other name
Description: bacterial SSU rRNA
Rfam family: Bacterial small subunit ribosomal RNA
Source: RNAcentral
UGGGGAAUAUUACACAAUGGAGGAAACUCUGAUGUAGCAACGCCGCGUGGAGGAUGACACAUUUCGGUGCGUAAACUCCUUUUAUGUGAGAAGAUAAUGACGGUAUCACAUGAAUAAGCACCGGCUAACUCCGUGCCAGCAGCCGCGGUAAUACGGAGGGUGCAAGCGUUACUCGGAAUCACUGGGCGUAAAGCGCGCGCAGGCGGCUUUGUAAGUUGGAUGUGAAAUCCUAUGGCUCAACCAUAGAACUGCAUCCAAAACUACUUAGCUAGAGUCUGGGAGGGGAAGAUGGAAUUAGUGGUGUAGGGGUAAAAUCCGUAGAGAUCACUAGGAAUACCAAAAGCGAAGGCGAUCUUCUGGAACAGUACUGACGCUGAGGCGCGAAAGCGUGGGGAGCAAACAGG